RNAcentral lists this ribosomal RNA (484 nucleotides) under uncultured bacterium. RNAcentral's name for it is "partial 16S ribosomal RNA". It matches the Rfam family "Bacterial small subunit ribosomal RNA", at positions 30 to 507 of the family's 1533-position model. The record is from RNAcentral.
AUUGAACGCUGGCGGCAGGCCUAACACAUGCAAGUCGAGCGGAUGAAGGGAGCUUGCUCCUGGAUUCAGCGGCGGACGGGUGAGUAAUGCCUAGGAAUCUGCCUGGUAGUGGGGGAUAACGUCCGGAAACGGGCGCUAAUACCGCAUACGUCCUGAGGGAGAAAGUGGGGGAUCUUCGGACCUCACGCUAUCAGAUGAGCCUAGGUCGGAUUAGCUAGUUGGUGGGGUAAAGGCCUACCAAGGCGACGAUCCGUAACUGGUCUGAGAGGAUGAUCAGUCACACUGGAACUGAGACACGGUCCAGACUCCUACGGGAGGCAGCAGUGGGGAAUAUUGGACAAUGGGCGAAAGCCUGAUCCAGCCAUGCCGCGUGUGUGAAGAAGGUCUUCGGAUUGUAAAGCACCUUAAGUUGGGAGGAAGGGCAGUAAGUUAGUACCUUGCUGUUUUGGCGUUACCAACAGAAUAAGCACCGGCUAACUUCGUG